Molecule: long non-coding RNA, 952 nt
Organism: Lolium perenne
Lineage: Eukaryota; Viridiplantae; Streptophyta; Magnoliopsida; Poales; Poaceae
Source: RefSeq, a predicted model, not a curated record
UCACUUUCGAUCAAAUUUGGUUUUCAAAUCAUAUACCGAAUACUAACUCAGGAAACAAACACAGAGAAGAAAAAAAAAACGAAGAAGAGCGGUCCAAGCCAGGCAACUCAACGAGUCAGUCCAACCAGGACUCGUACGUCGUACGCGCCGGUACGCCCGCGAAAUGGAGCGACGCAUUAGCAACCGGUCCGUGUUGUGCUUUUCCUUUUCUUCAUCUGUGGACCCCACUGCCAGGUCAUCAUCUUCAAGUUCUAGCCCAAACAGAAACGCACGCACGCACGUAUUAUGUUGGCUGUUACUAACAUUUCAUCUCCAAUUGAUUUACGGCGAUUUAAGCCACCAUUUGACGCACCGUUUCUUCCUACAUAAGCUCCAUUCUCUCCUCUUCAUUUACCCUCACUCACCAUAGACCGAGAGCCUCCAGGCUGCUCGAAUUUUGCCUCGCAUGUCCGCAGUACCGUCGCGGUAAAUCGUCGAUUGUGUCUCCGGCGAGCGAUUUUCCGGCGAACUACUGUACCUCGACGUCCGCGACUUUGCCAUCGAGUUCCCUUGCGAAGCCGAGCUCCUUCGUCUACUAAAUCACCGCCAACAAGUACACGAACAUCGACUGCCAGCGACCACAACUACAUAUUCCAGUGACCUGUGCUGCCAUACAUUGUGGUUGUGCUGAUUGCAACGAGUGUUUCUGCGAAGAGUGUACCAACUCGUCCUCUCACCAAGGCAAGUGACACACACCAAAAGUCCCAGUUUUAAUUCUUGCACCGUAGUGUUUUUAUAGUAGACAUGUCUAGGGUUUAUGCUUUAUGCCUGCUAAUAAAUCCUAGUAGUUUAGCUACACCACUCCUAGACUCCUUUAGCCGCCAUUAAAUUUAGUUGUUACCUGCUAUGCCAUGGAAAAUGUUUUGAUAGAGGUUAAGGAAAAACAACUAAGUUUAAUGAAUUACCUGGGUGA